RNAcentral lists this long non-coding RNA (618 nucleotides) under Bos taurus (domestic cattle). RNAcentral describes it as "long non-coding RNA NONBTAT024845". The record is from RNAcentral. Lineage: Eukaryota; Metazoa; Chordata; Mammalia; Artiodactyla; Bovidae.
GACUUUUAAGUUGAUAUGAUACUAUAGCUAUCUAAGUCAGUUUAAGUGUUUUAGAGUGGAAAUCCAUUUGUAACUUUUUUUUUUUUCAUUUUACCACUCCCUUUCUUCACUGAUAGUUUUAUACUGUUAUAAAACUGAUACAUUUUAUACCAAGUGCUAAUUUUAUUCAUCGGAAUUACUCUUAUUUGAAUUACCUUACUUUUAUAUCUUCAGCUAGAGUCAUGAUAAACAGUUUUUCUUGCAUUUUUAUACACAAACUUUUAAUGCAUUAAGAAAAAUCCAAAACUUUCAAAAUUUUAAAGAUAGUAAGUAAAUAUAAUAAGUAAAAAUUAUUUCUGGAAAUCUCAGCUGGAUAGACUGACAUUCUGUUUUGUUUUCUCACUCAUGUUCUGCUUUCACCAAGGUAGGCUUUGUAGCUGACCUGUGUUGUCCAUCCAGUUUCCCGUGCACUCCCCAUGAAAAGGGUGCAGAGUAGUAGCAAUAUAGACCUCACCAACACAGCCAGCUUUGUUCCUUUCAUCAGGCUCCUGUUUGUUUAUCCCCAGGCUCAACCUUCCUUCAUUUCCCUGUAGUGCUUGCUUUCUGCAUAGUUGAUUCUAAAAACUUUAAUACUGUCUU